GAUGAACGCUGGCGGCGUGCCUAAUACAUGCAAGUCGAGCGAACGGACGAGAAGCUUGCUUCUCUGAUGUUAGCGGCGGACGGGUGAGUAACACGUGGAUAACCUACCUAUAAGACUGGGAUAAUUUCGGGAAACCGGAGCUAAUACCGGAUAAUAUUUUGAACCGCAUGGUUCAAAAGUGAAAGACGGUCUUGCUGUCACUUAUAGAUGGAUCCGCGCUGCAUUAGCUAGUUGGUAAGGUAACGGCUUACCAAGGCAACGAUGCAUAGCCGACCUGAGAGAGUGAUCGGCCACACUGGAACUGAGACACGGUCCAGACUCCUACGGGAGGCAGCAGUAGGGAAUCUUCCGCAAUGGGCGAAAGCCUGACGGAGCAACGCCGCGUGAGUGAUGAAGGUCUUCGGAUCGUAAAACUCUGUUAUUAGGGAAGAACAUGUGUGUAAGUAACUGUGCACAUCUUGACGGUACCUAAUCAGAAAGCCACGGCUAACUACGUG
Molecule: ribosomal RNA, 497 nt
Filed under: uncultured bacterium
Lineage: Bacteria
Description: partial 16S ribosomal RNA
Rfam family: Bacterial small subunit ribosomal RNA
Source: RNAcentral